Molecule: ribosomal RNA, 1528 nt
Filed under: Klebsiella pneumoniae
Lineage: Bacteria; Pseudomonadati; Pseudomonadota; Gammaproteobacteria; Enterobacterales; Enterobacteriaceae
Description: bacterial SSU rRNA
Rfam family: Bacterial small subunit ribosomal RNA
Source: RNAcentral
AGAGUUUGAUCAUGGCUCAGAUUGAACGCUGGCGGCAGGCCUAACACAUGCAAGUCGAGCGGUAGCACAGAGAGCUUGCUCUCGGGUGACGAGCGGCGGACGGGUGAGUAAUGUCUGGGAAACUGCCUGAUGGAGGGGGAUAACUACUGGAAACGGUAGCUAAUACCGCAUAACGUCGCAAGACCAAAGUGGGGGACCUUCGGGCCUCAUGCCAUCAGAUGUGCCCAGAUGGGAUUAGCUAGUAGGUGGGGUAACGGCUCACCUAGGCGACGAUCCCUAGCUGGUCUGAGAGGAUGACCAGCCACACUGGAACUGAGACACGGUCCAGACUCCUACGGGAGGCAGCAGUGGGGAAUAUUGCACAAUGGGCGCAAGCCUGAUGCAGCCAUGCCGCGUGUGUGAAGAAGGCCUUCGGGUUGUAAAGCACUUUCAGCGGGGAGGAAGGCGAUAAGGUUAAUAACCUUGUCGAUUGACGUUACCCGCAGAAGAAGCACCGGCUAACUCCGUGCCAGCAGCCGCGGUAAUACGGAGGGUGCAAGCGUUAAUCGGAAUUACUGGGCGUAAAGCGCACGCAGGCGGUCUGUCAAGUCGGAUGUGAAAUCCCCGGGCUUAACCUGGGAACUGCAUUCGAAACUGGCAGGCUAGAGUCUUGUAGAGGGGGGUAGAAUUCCAGGUGUAGCGGUGAAAUGCGUAGAGAUCUGGAGGAAUACCGGUGGCGAAGGCGGCCCCCUGGACAAAGACUGACGCUCAGGUGCGAAAGCGUGGGGAGCAAACAGGAUUAGAUACCCUGGUAGUCCACGCCGUAAACGAUGUCGAUUUGGAGGUUGUGCCCUUGAGGCGUGGCUUCCGGAGCUAACGCGUUAAAUCGACCGCCUGGGGAGUACGGCCGCAAGGUUAAAACUCAAAUGAAUUGACGGGGGCCCGCACAAGCGGUGGAGCAUGUGGUUUAAUUCGAUGCAACGCGAAGAACCUUACCUGGUCUUGACAUCCACAGAACUUAGCAGAGAUGCUUUGGUGCCUUCGGGAACUGUGAGACAGGUGCUGCAUGGCUGUCGUCAGCUCGUGUUGUGAAAUGUUGGGUUAAGUCCCGCAACGAGCGCAACCCUUAUCCUUUGUUGCCAGCGGUUCGGCCGGGAACUCAAAGGAGACUGCCAGUGAUAAACUGGAGGAAGGUGGGGAUGACGUCAAGUCAUCAUGGCCCUUACGACCAGGGCUACACACGUGCUACAAUGGCAUAUACAAAGAGAAGCGACCUCGCGAGAGCAAGCGGACCUCAUAAAGUAUGUCGUAGUCCGGAUUGGAGUCUGCAACUCGACUCCAUGAAGUCGGAAUCGCUAGUAAUCGUAGAUCAGAAUGCUACGGUGAAUACGUUCCCGGGCCUUGUACACACCGCCCGUCACACCAUGGGAGUGGGUUGCAAAAGAAGUAGGUAGCUUAACCUUCGGGAGGGCGCUUACCACUUUGUGAUUCAUGACUGGGGUGAAGUCGUAACAAGGUAACCGUAGGGGAACCUGCGGUUGGAUCACCU